UUGUAAUCAAAGUUUAAUUUAUGUUAUAUUUUGUUAGCCUAUUAAAAAAGCUAUUUUUGAAAUUCAAUUAAAAUAAAUAAUUAGUCUUAAUAAAAAAAUAAAUAAAUAAAUAAACUAGUUAAAUUUUAUAUUAUACAUAUAUAUUUUUUCAAUUCAAUUUGCAAAAUAUCUAAGCUGAAAUUCUAUGUCUAUUUUAAUGAUUGCUCCAAGUAUACAACUUGUUAAUCGUUUGGAAUUGUACAAAUAACAUUUAACUAUAAAUCUUUUUUGUAAAAAAUAUAUUUUUCUAUAUAUUUAUAUUUUAAAGUAAAUUUCAAUCUUAAAAAUUUAAGUUUUAAUAUUUUAAAAAAUAUGUAAAAUGUUAAAAAUAUAAAUAGAUGUUGAAUUAGUCAUAUUUAAUAUAUUUUUUAUUAUUUCUUUAGUAAAUCAAGGAAUCUU
RNAcentral lists this long non-coding RNA (438 nucleotides) under Physcomitrium patens. RNAcentral describes it as "long non-coding RNA (PPAT_LNC004207)". Lineage: Eukaryota; Viridiplantae; Streptophyta; Bryopsida; Funariales; Funariaceae. The record is from RNAcentral.